CGCGUAGGUGGCUCGUGAAGCGUGCGGUGAAAGUCCGAGGCUCAACCUCGGAUCGGCCGUGCGGACUCGCGGGCUCGAGCGUUGUAGAGGCGGGUGGAAUUCCGGGUGUAGCGGUGGAAUGCGUAGAGAUCCGGAAGAACACCGGUGGCGAAGGCGGCCCGCUGGGCAACUGCUGACACUGAGGCGCGACAGCGUGGGGAGCAAACAGGAUUAGAUACCCUGGUAGUCCACGCCGUAAACGAUGGGCACUAGGUGCUUCGGGGAGCGACCCUCGGAGUGCCGGCGCUAACGCAUUAAGUGCCCCGCCUGGGGAGUACGGCCGCAAGGCUGAA
RNAcentral lists this ribosomal RNA (332 nucleotides) under uncultured Gemmatimonadota bacterium. RNAcentral's name for it is "bacterial SSU rRNA". It matches the Rfam family "Bacterial small subunit ribosomal RNA", at positions 568 to 898 of the family's 1533-position model. The record is from RNAcentral. Lineage: Bacteria; Pseudomonadati; Gemmatimonadota.